GAUGAACGCUGGCGGCGUGCCUAAUACAUGCAAGUCGAGCGAACAGACGAUGAGCUUGCUCCUCUGACGUUAGCGGCGGACGGGUGAGUAACACGUGGAUAACCUACCUCUAAUACUGGGAUAACUUCGGGAAACCGGAGCUAAUACCGGAUAAUAUAUUGAACCGCAUGGUUCAAUAGUGAAAGACGGUUUUGCUGUCACUUAUAGAUGGAUCCGCGCCGCAUUAGCUAGUUGGUAAGGUAACGGCUUACCAAGGCGACGAUGCGUAGCCGACCUGAGAGGGUGAUCGGCCACACUGGAACUGAGACACGGUCCAGACUCCUACGGGAGGCAGCAGUAGGGAAUCUUCCGCAAUGGGCGAAAGCCUGACGGAGCAACGCCGCGUGAGUGAUGAAGGUCUUCGGAUCGUAAAACUCUGUUAUUAGGGAAGAACAAAUGUGUAAGUAACUAUGCACGUCUUGACGGUACCUAAUCAGAAAGCCACGGCUAACUACGUG
Molecule: ribosomal RNA, 497 nt
Filed under: uncultured bacterium
Lineage: Bacteria
Description: partial 16S ribosomal RNA
Rfam family: Bacterial small subunit ribosomal RNA
Source: RNAcentral